Molecule: ribosomal RNA, 429 nt
Filed under: Gemmatimonadota bacterium
Lineage: Bacteria; Pseudomonadati; Gemmatimonadota
Description: Gemmatimonadetes bacterium partial 16S ribosomal RNA
Rfam family: Bacterial small subunit ribosomal RNA
Source: RNAcentral
UAGGGAAUCUUCGGCAAUGGACGAAAGUCUGACCGAGCAACGCCGCGUGAGUGAAGAAGGUUUUCGGAUCGUAAAACUCUGUUGUUAGAGAAGAACAAGGACGUUAGUAACUGAACGUCCCCUGACGGUAUCUAACCAGAAAGCCACGGCUAACUACGUGCCAGCAGCCGCGGUAAUACGUAGGUGGCAAGCGUUGUCCGGAUUUAUUGGGCGUAAAGCGAGUGCAGGCGGUUUCUUAAGUCUGAUGUGAAAGCCCCCGGCUCAACCGGGGAGGGUCAUUGGAAACUGGGAGACUUGAGUGCAGAAGAGGAGAGUGGAAUUCCAUGUGUAGCGGUGAAAUGCGUAGAUAUAUGGAGGAACACCAGUGGCGAAGGCGGCUCUCUGGUCUGUAACUGACGCUGAGGCUCGAAAGCGUGGGGAGCAAACAGG